UACGAGGGGGGCGAGCGUUGUUCGGAAUUAUUGGGCGUAAAGGGUGCGUAGGCGGUUUGGUAAGUCUUAUGUGAAAUCUAUGGGCUCAACUCAUAGUCUGCAUGAGAAACUGCCGGGCUUGAGUGUGGGAGAGGUGAGUGGAAUUUCCGGUGUAGCGGUGAAAUGCGCAGAUAUCAGGAGGAACACCGGUGGCGAAGGCGGGUCUCUGGGCCGAUACUGACGCUGAGGAGCGAAAGCAUGGGUAGCGAACAGG
Molecule: ribosomal RNA, 253 nt
Filed under: uncultured bacterium
Lineage: Bacteria
Description: partial 16S ribosomal RNA
Rfam family: Bacterial small subunit ribosomal RNA
Source: RNAcentral